UACGGAGGGUGCAAGCGUUAUCCGGAUUCACUGGGUUUAAAGGGAGCGUAGGAGGGCAGGUAAGUCAGUGGUGAAAUCUUUGGGCUUAACCCGAAAACUGCCAUUGAUACUAUCUGUCUUGAAUAUUGUGGAGGUGAGCGGAAUAUGUCAUGUAGCGGUGAAAUGCUUAGAUAUGACAUAGAACACCGAUUGCGAAGGCAGCUCGCUACACAUAUAUUGACUCUGAGGCUCGAAAGCGUGGGGAUCAAACAGG
This 253-nucleotide ribosomal RNA is filed under the name uncultured bacterium. RNAcentral's name for it is "partial 16S ribosomal RNA". It matches the Rfam family "Bacterial small subunit ribosomal RNA", at positions 524 to 776 of the family's 1533-position model. The record is from RNAcentral.